RNAcentral lists this transfer RNA (64 nucleotides) under Neotrypaea thermophila. RNAcentral describes it as "tRNA-Leu". Lineage: Eukaryota; Metazoa; Arthropoda; Malacostraca; Decapoda; Callianassidae. The record is from RNAcentral.
GCUAAAAUGGCAGAUAGAUGUGUAAGAUUUAGGAUCUUUUUAGGAAAUAUUAUUUCUUUUAGUA